RNAcentral lists this long non-coding RNA (1149 nucleotides) under Betta splendens (Siamese fighting fish). RNAcentral describes it as "lncRNA (ENSBSLG00000009798.1)". The record is from RNAcentral. Lineage: Eukaryota; Metazoa; Chordata; Actinopteri; Anabantiformes; Osphronemidae.
GUGGACAUUAAAAGCAGAAAUGAAAACCAAAUAGCUCUACUCGGAUCCAUUUUAUUUAUUAAGAUAAGGUCCAAAUCUGUAAUAAUUUCUGAAGGAAAGAGACUGUAGUCAUGAAAUAUAAAAUACAAGUCAAUUGUACCAGCAACAGAAAACACAUUCCAUACCACAUGGUGAUCACGAUGUGACUUCAGCAUAUAGGGCAGGUUCCCAGACCUGGUUCUAGUUCUCAUGGCUGGUAACUCUUACUAGUAACGUUUUACAAAAACUACGUAUGUACAAUAAAUGCGUAUAUGUCCAUAUGGAUGACACAGCUGUCAAUACAUUAGUCAAUACUUAUCAUCUUCACCAGCUGUUGUUUACUGUGGAAGUUACACUCUUUGUCAAGUUGUGAAUUAUUCAUUCCUCUACAUUACAGCAUGUUAUACAUUUAGAGUCACAUUGUUUUAUUCUUCUGGAAAUGUGAAUUUCAGCUUCAACAACAUGAAGACGAAACACAAGUUACCAAAAUUUGAUUACCAACGAUUCAUGAUCGUUAAAAUGCUUUGAGGGGUUGAACGUAGCUGCAGCACUGCUGCCCGCUACUUACAUGCCACAAUCAACUCAGACAUUUUGAAAUACUUUUAUUUUGAAAACCCCUUUGCGUUGUGGAGCGUGGGUAUAAGACGCAGCUUACUUUGCUGUGCUGGUCCGUUUGAAGCAGACACAGAGCGCAGCAGAUCUCAGAAGACCAUGUCGGAGUUUCUGUUGUUUGGAUGUCGUUUGCCUUUGGACCAUCAACACAUCUGCAACAGGAAUCGAAGAGAAAACAUGCAAGUUUGUGAAAUGAAUAAGGAAUGCACCAGUGACCUUUCAGCGGUGGCAGCUCCAUUAACCAGCCCACGGGCCUCAUUCAGCUGGACAGGUAAGUGUCAACGGGCAUUUCAUAGCUUAAACGGAUUGCUUUGUUGUGUUCCUGUCCUGGCUGCACCCAAUUAUUCAUUCCCUUUUAAGAUGGAGUUGGAUGCCUUUGGAGUAGGAGCUGUACUACUUCAGGAUAAUGACCAAGGCACCGAUCGUCCGGUAGAUUAUUUCUCUCAAAGGUUUAACGUACAUCAACUCCACCAUAGAAAAAGAAACCCUUGCUUUGUUAUGGGCGCUGCAGCAUUUUAA